GCUCCGGGGACCUCACCAUAGCAUGAACAGGAACUGGAAUGCCGCCCAGGAGCUUCACGCUGCUUGGCUGACCCAUGGAGCAGAGCGCCGGAUGAGGGCGGGACUCCAAGCCGCUCCUGGGACCUCACCAUGGCGUGGGCAGGAACCGGGACGCCGCCAAGGAGCUUCAUGCCGCUUGGGAACGUAAAGGCCUUUCCUGGCCCUCUCACUGACUCAAACAGGAAGCCAAAACGAGUAUGACGCCAAGUCCCAUGCAAGUAAUCAGGAAUUGCUUAGAGUUUAUAGACUGUCAAGGAUUAUUCAAAGUCAACUCUCUUCAUAAAACAUGAAAAAAUACUGACUCAUCUGAUAAUGUUCUUGGAGAAAUUUAUUGGAUCUUACAUCUCCAUGCAAAAUCUUCCAGAGGAUUCUUUAUUCAGCUGAAAUGCUCUCUUGCAUGAUGUGCAAAUGAAGAUGAAAUAAAGGCUUAGAAUGUGGUCAGGGAGACUGAGAUGGAAUAAGCAGACCAAAAAAUAUUGAAGCAGAAUGUAAUGCAUGAACUGACGUACAUCUGGUGAGUCUGCAUGCCACUGCUCCAUGCUAGAAACCAUUAUAAACCAUUUGAGGUGAUCAAAAAAUUGCUGCCCAGGUGCAAUAGUUUAUAUUUUGAAAAUGAAAUAAAUCUAGUGGAUACUGUGGACGAAGAACUUGCAAAAUCUUAUUAGAAAAAUAAAUCUGUUUUGAGUUAGAGGAGUGAAAAAAUCCUAACAAAUUAUAGGAGUAGAAGUGUUGCAAAACUGAAUACAUUCAUGUUUAUUCAAUAAUCACACACAUGUUCCAUUAAGAAAUGCAGAAAAAAGUGCAAUAAAUAUUGACUUUCACAGCAAAAUGUAGAAGUAUAUGUGCAAAGAAUAAUGAAUCCUUUUCUUGACAGUUUGAGAAAAUAGAAAUGUUGAGCCAUUUACACAGGUUGAAAAAUAAGAAAGCUGUCCUCUUUAUUAUAAGGGAAAAUAUUUU
This is a non-coding RNA of Heterocephalus glaber (naked mole-rat), 996 nucleotides long. The record is from RefSeq and is a predicted model, not a curated record. Lineage: Eukaryota; Metazoa; Chordata; Mammalia; Rodentia; Bathyergidae.